RNAcentral lists this ribosomal RNA (1634 nucleotides) under Acipensericola glacialis. RNAcentral describes it as "eukaryotic LSU rRNA". It matches the Rfam family "Eukaryotic large subunit ribosomal RNA", at positions 63 to 1277 of the family's 3401-position model. Lineage: Eukaryota; Metazoa; Platyhelminthes; Trematoda; Strigeidida; Aporocotylidae. The record is from RNAcentral.
AACUAACCCAGGAUUCCCCUAGUAACGGCGAGUGAAGGGGGAUCAGCCCAGCACCGAAGUCUGUGGUCAUUUGAUUACUAGACAAUGUGGUGUUUAGGAAUGUUCUUGGCAUUACUGCUCUACCCUAAGUCCAGCAAUGAGUACGGCAAACUGGAAUGGCCCACAGAGGGUGAAAGGCCCGUUUGGGUAGAGAUCAAGUUGGACAGUUUUGCCUUGAAUAUUCCUUGGAGUCGGGUUGUUUGUGAAUGCAGCCCAAAGUGGGUGGUAAACUCCAUCCAAGGCUAAAUACUGGCACGAGUCCGAUAGCAAACAAGUACCGUGAGGGAAAGUUGAAAAGUACUUUGAAGAGAGAGUAAACAGUGCGUGAAACCGCUCAGAGGUAAACGGGUGGAGUUGAACUGGAAGCCCUGGGAAUUCAGCUGAUGAGUAUAGCAUGAACUUGGGCAUAUUUGCUGGCGUUUAGAGUCCGCUCAGGUGCGGGUCUUUGCUCUUUGAGUAGAGAUGUGCGUUAGCUUAUCAAGCUUUGUGCGCUCUAAUCGAUCCGGGCUUGCUUAUCAGUGCACUUUCUCAGGGUGAUCACCACGACCGGCGUUGCUGUCUGUCUACUAUGGUUAAACUUAUCAGGUUUGGUCUUUGACUAGGCUUGGUUGGGAUGGCAGGUAGUUUAUUCAAUCUUGUUGGUCUUGGCUGGCUUGAUUGUUUAAAUGUAAUCAGCUGACUAUAGUAGAUCUGUGCAGUGCGCCGGAGAUAGCGGCUUUGGUGUGUGCAUACGUGCUAUGGGUUACCGACUUAAUUGAGUUUGAUUGACAUGUUACCAACCUUGGUGGGUCUGUUGGUAGCUCGGUUAUGUUCGGUAGACGGUAGCGUGUGUGACACCGCUUAGGCCUAUAGUCUGUGGUGUAGUGGUAAACUAUCCAUCCGACCCGUCUUGAAACACGGACCAAGGAGUUUAAUAUGUACGCGAGUCAUUGGGCGUUACGAAACCCAAAGGCGCAGUGAAAGUAAAGGUUUGGCUUGUCCGAACUAAGGUGAGAUCCCGUUGUUUCUUCUGCCUGGAACUUCCAAGUAUUCGAGCAGCGGGCGCAUCACCGGCCCGUCCCACGACGUAGACAUGUGACCUUGUGUCGUGUGCACCGUCGGGACGGAGCUAGAGCGUACACAUUAUGACCCGAAAGAUGGUGAACUAUGCUUGCGCAGGUUGAAGCCAGAGGAAACUCUGGUGGAGGACCGCAGCGAUUCUGACGUGCAAAUCGAUCGUCAAACGUGAGUAUAGGGGCGAAAGACUAAUCGAACCAUCUAGUAGCUGGUUCCCUCCGAAGUUUCCCUCAGGAUAGCUGGCAUUCGGAGAUAUAAACAGUUUUAUCCGGUAAAGCGAAUGAUUAGAGGCAUUGGGGAUAAAUCAUUCUUAACCUAUUCUCAAACUUUAAAUGGGUGAGAGGCCCCACUCGCUUGAGUGGAGUGGGGCGUUGAAUGUGAGUGCCAAGUGGGCCAUUUUUGGUAAGCAGAACUGGCGCUGUGGGAUGAACCAAACGUCUGGUUAAGGUGCCUAACGCGACGCUCAUGAGAUACCACAAAAGGUGUUGGUUGGUCUAGACAGCAGGACGGUGGCCAUGGAAGUCGGAAACCGCUAAGGA